Molecule: long non-coding RNA, 2103 nt
Organism: Carassius carassius (crucian carp)
Lineage: Eukaryota; Metazoa; Chordata; Actinopteri; Cypriniformes; Cyprinidae
Exons: 8
Source: RefSeq, a predicted model, not a curated record
ACCUGUCGCCUAUUGAGGAAAGACUGGAAGAUGAUGAGCGCACCAGGAUGCCUCUGAGGUUCUGGAGGAAAGUCUACAGAACAUGAGCAUCCAGGAUGCUGAAACCCAGGUCAUGUAUGAGCAGGAGAUAAAUGAUCUAAUGAAGAGUGUAAUUGAUUGGGGGGACAGUGAAGGUGUUAGUAAUGAGGAGAUUGAAGCAGAUGACAGUGAAGAUGAGGACUAUGUCCCUCGUAUUUGUAUUCGGUUGGGUGGAGCAUUGCAGGCACCACCAUGCAUUGACAAUCUGUCUGUGAUAGAUGCCAGUGAGACAGUACAUGACAUCCCGGAUGUAGAGCCUCCAUCAGUCACCUUACCUACACUUCAACAACCUGGCUUUCCUGAUACACUGGAGGUCAUGACUGAAGAUGACCUAAUCGGGAAACAGGCCUCCAUCACUUAUGAGGACUGUUUGAGGAAGCUUGCAACAUUCCUUGUGCUUCUGGUCCAAAAGUGCCCAUACACAUGUGACGUCAGCAAAGUGGAGUGUCAGUGUUGCCCUCCAUUUGAAGUUUCCAUUACGUGCAGGGGUACUGCAAGCAUCAUGGAAUGGGUAGGUGUUGUAAUCAUACUACAUUGCAAAUAAGUGUAGAUUGGUGUUGGAGGCAAUGUCAAUACGUUGACAGUGGUUUUGUGAAACUCAAUCAAGCUUCCUGAGUUGUAGUUCCACUUAGUGGAAGCAAUUCUAUGUUUGUAUUUGAUAAUGCUAAAUAGCCUAAGUUGUGUCCCAUUUAUUGUCAGACCUGCCCUGUUGGCCACACUGUAUAGAGAUGGAGCUCACAGCCGUCUUUGAGGUAUGGGAUGCUAGCAGGGACUUCAUGUUGGCAAGCAACAUACUACUCUCCGGAAGCAACUACACCAAAGUCUCGCUUCUGUUCCAGUUUAUAAACAUGGGGAUGGUGGACCGUAGUUCAUUUUUCACAAUUCAGGACACAUACGGUGUAGACACUGUGAAGGAGUUUUGGGAGGAGAAGAGGGCUGAGGCAAUAAAUCGCCUAAAAGACAGAGAUAAGAGAGGUAAUACGGAUGGAAGAAUGGAAUGUCCUGGACAUUGCGCCCAGUACUGUACAUACACUGCCAUGGAGAAUGAAUCCAGGGAAAUCAUCUCUGUCAUCACUGUGGACAAAAGGGAGACUGGGCAAAAUUCUGAGAUCAUGGAGAGAGAGGCAUUUGUGCGGACAGUCGACACUCUUUUGAAUGAAGUGAAACUAGUAGAGGUCUGCACUGAUGCCCAUGUCCAGAUCUCCGCAAUAAUGAACAAAGGAAAGUACAAAGACCUUGGGCUGCAGCACAGCUUGGAUAUGUGGCAUGGGGCCAAGAAUUUGGCAAAAAGCAUCCAUGCUGCUUCACAGGUCAAGGGUCAGUCCAGUUUGAGCAGUUGGCUAAAAGACAUUGUCAACCACUUUUGGUGGUGCUGCAAAACAGCAGAUUCUUACCAAGAGUUCCUUAUAAGUUGAUAUGGUUUGAAAAAUAGUUGUCAUCUAAAAAGAAUAUUCUAUGAAACUAACAUGCAGACUUAUUAGACAUACCUUGUUGGCAAAGAGAAUAAGUUAGGAUGGUUCCUUGAUGUUGGAUAUUUGUUGAUUCAGUAGCUAAUCAGACAUGUCAUUGUGGUAAAUCAUGUGACCCACUUAGAUUAUAGUACUUACAAACAUAAUCAUCAUUAAUAAUGAAUUAUGUACAAUAUGCAUGCUUUUUGUUCUGUACAUUAUAUUUCUAUAUUAUUUCUAGGAGCUGUGGCUUGGUCUCCUACAUCAUGUGACAAAUGAACACAGGUGGGUGCUGGGAAGCUGCCAGCAUGCAGACUUAGAAUCUGGUGGAACUCAACAGUGGCUUGAGCGAGGCUCCAUGGCACAUGAGGCCCUGAAGAGCAUCAUUAGAAACAAGCGGUGGCUUAAUGAGGUCCACAAAUAUCUAAAUUUUAGGUCCACUGCUGAUCUGGAGUCCUUCCAGAACCAUAUUUUAAUGUACGCUAGCAAGCGCACAGCAUUUAGCCCUCCUGUCUUUGAGGCCAGGAUGCUCCUUGCAGCGAUGGACUACAGUAUAAUUACCACAAGGACCGCCCAG